Long non-coding RNA from Ruditapes philippinarum (Manila clam), 1145 nucleotides. RefSeq lists it as uncharacterized. The transcript is spliced from 2 exons. The record is from RefSeq and is a predicted model, not a curated record. NCBI's taxonomy places the organism in Eukaryota, Metazoa, Mollusca, Bivalvia, Venerida, Veneridae.
GGAUGGGUGACCGCCUGGGAAUACCGGGUGCAGUAGACUUUUGAUUUUUUUUUCAUUUUCAUUUUUUUUUUUCCCGUGUUAGAUGAAGUUUUAUGAUUUUCUAUCCGGCAUAUUACUGUAUGUGAGCGAUAAAUGCCCGAAAAAAUAGAAGAAAACAAGAAAUAUUCGCGGACAGAGAUAAUACAGGCGGUGAAGUGUGUGUAUUUGUUACUUUUUGUUGCAUUUUUGUUAAGUAAAACUUAUUGAGGAAACAUUUCUCCCAGCUAGUAUACAACCGGAACAAGCUAUGUACAUGUUGCGAAACUUUGACUAUUUCUAGGCACGAAGUGGACGGAACGAGGCACGGGAUAUGAUGCUGGCACAAGCCUUAUUGUAUAAUAACGUCAACGUGUACAGGAAAUGACGUAAAAGACGUAACGUCAGUAGCAUCAGCUCCAUGGUGGUCACGUCGCCGCUUCCACUAUAAGAGCAGCCUGUCAUUACGAAAUAAGGCACGAAGUGGACGGAACGAGGCACGGGAUAUGAUGCUGGCACAAGCCUUAUUAUAUAAUAACGUCAACGUGUACAGGAAAUGACGUAAAAGACGUAACGUCAGUAGCAUCAGCUCCAUGGUGGUCACGUCGCCGCUUCCACUAUAAGAGCAGCCUGUCAUUACGAAAUAAGGUAAGAAAAGGCGAUUUGAAUCACAACAAGCUCAUAAAAAUGUCGGUUCAACGUACUGAAUAUGUUUUCCGUACGUUGGAUGGUAGCUCGAAUUCGGAAUUCAGUUAAAAAAGGAGCGGGGGAUGACCGUUAUUGUAGCGGUCAUAUAUUAGUUUUAAAAAUACAUAGAGCCUAUGACUGGCGAUUCUUUUUACUGCUUUUGGACGUUUGGCUCGUGGUGUGAGAAUUGCACACAGGGGCGGAGUAUAUCUGAACUGCUAACCGGGAGACUGUUGUAAUUUAGUGGAAUAAAAUGUUUCAUUGUCGGAGUUGAGGCAUACUUACCUGGUACAGAGGCUACCGUGAUCAGCCAGGCGGUGCCUCCAGGAAGAGACCCUUCCAUUGCACUUCGGUUGGGUUGAAGCCUGCGAUUACCCCUAAUGUGGGUAACUCGGGUACGCAAUUUAUUUGUGUGGGGGUCUGCGUUCGCGCUAACCCCUGUC